Papaver somniferum (opium poppy) is the source of this 135-nucleotide small nucleolar RNA. The record is from RefSeq and is a predicted model, not a curated record. NCBI's taxonomy places the organism in Eukaryota, Viridiplantae, Streptophyta, Magnoliopsida, Ranunculales, Papaveraceae.
AUCCCGGACAGAACUUGAUUUUUUCGUGUUUGUCUGAUUCAUGGAAAGCCAAUAAUGAUUUGUGGGAUGUUUCGCUGAUAAAUACCUUUUUAAUUUAACUCUGGAGGUGUUUUAAUAGUAGCUUUCCAUACAGUC